GCCCGAUUUAUUAGAAGCUUCCCUCUUCAACCGACUAGUGCCCCUGGAAACCAGCACCCUCAGUAGAACCCCAUUUGUGCAGAACACAAUUGAUGAGUUUCUUCCACCUUUACUUUCCAACCGAAUCUUCCAAUAUCAUCUCCAAUAUUUUCUCCUCUUUCAUAAGAUAUUCUUUCAGCAACUGAUGUUGCUGAGAUACGACGAGGUUGUGUGCAGACUAUUUUACAGGCCUCGCCUUUUCCCCACUUAUGGUCCAAUAAAAAUUGUGGGACCUGUGUAGUCUUUCCACACCCAGUCUCACCAGAAAUAAGAACAACCUGGUGAGAAUCUACAGAGGAUGUAAUGACAUCCC
RNAcentral lists this unclassified non-coding RNA (352 nucleotides) under Hevea brasiliensis (rubber tree). Lineage: Eukaryota; Viridiplantae; Streptophyta; Magnoliopsida; Malpighiales; Euphorbiaceae. The record is from RNAcentral.